CAGUAGCCGCGGGAAUACGUAGGUGGCAAGCGUUGUCCGGAAUUAUUGGGCGUAAAGCGCGCGCAGGCGGCCUAUCCAGUCUGUCUUAAAAGUUCGGGGCUCAACCCCGUGAUGGGAUGGAAACUAGUAGGCUAGAGUAUCGGAGAGGAAAGCGGAAUUCCUAGUGUAGCGGUGAAAUGCGUAGAUAUUAGGAAGAACACCAGUGGCGAAGGCGGCUUUCUGGACGAAAACUGACGCUGAGGCGCGAAAGCCAGGGGAGCGAACGGGAUUAGAUACCCCCGUAGUCCCUGUCUCUUAUACA
This 301-nucleotide ribosomal RNA is filed under the name uncultured bacterium. RNAcentral describes it as "partial 16S ribosomal RNA". It matches the Rfam family "Bacterial small subunit ribosomal RNA", at positions 509 to 809 of the family's 1533-position model. The record is from RNAcentral.